GUGAUUUGAGAGAUCGAUUGAGGCCGCGAGAGCAGAGGGAGUUUUCGUUGAGGGCGAGUGAGAUAGAGAGAGGAUGACGAUUGGGAUUCUGGACUUUCCUUCGUUGUCCUCACCUUUUCUUUUCCUUUUUAUUUAUUCAUUAUUGCUUCUCUUUUUUAGCAGAACCUUUAAGUCCCAAUGUUUGAACGUUUAGAGUUCUCAAUAGUCAUUAACUAUGGUUUACUGGU
RNAcentral lists this long non-coding RNA (227 nucleotides) under Lathyrus oleraceus (garden pea). Its description in RNAcentral is "Pisum sativum (pea) long non-coding RNA (PSAT_LNC015695)". Lineage: Eukaryota; Viridiplantae; Streptophyta; Magnoliopsida; Fabales; Fabaceae. The record is from RNAcentral.